This 91-nucleotide transfer RNA is filed under the name Euryarchaeota archaeon CG_4_9_14_3_um_filter_38_12. Its description in RNAcentral is "tRNA-Leu". It matches the Rfam family "tRNA". Rfam says of the family: Transfer RNA (tRNA) molecules are approximately 80 nucleotides in length. Their secondary structure includes four short double-helical elements and three loops (D, anti-codon, and T loops). RNAcentral also lists the same sequence under 1 other name. The record is from RNAcentral. Lineage: Archaea; Methanobacteriati; Methanobacteriota.
GCCGGGAUGGCACAGUCAGGUUCACUGCGGUUGCCUGAGGAGCAACUCGGAGACUUCGCACUCCUCAUGGGUUCAAAUCCCAUUCCCGGCG